Molecule: non-coding RNA, 588 nt
Organism: Podarcis raffonei (Aeolian wall lizard)
Lineage: Eukaryota; Metazoa; Chordata; Lepidosauria; Squamata; Lacertidae
Source: the annotation of a RefSeq genome assembly
CUCUGGUAUGACAACCACUAAGGGCUGCAGAAGUCACUGAGCUCGGGCAGGAGCAAGCUUUGGUGCUUGUCUGCAUUAUUGAAUUGGAGGGAGAUGCCCAUGGGCUCCAGGAUGGACUCAAUAACUUGGCUAACUCGGUGGAGGCAUCUCUUUGGACUACUCGUCCUAUAUCAGUGGACUAUUGUCUGCGGCUCUGAUUCCCAAGUGACCCAGAGUCCCUUCUCACAGAACAUCCAGGAAGGGGGACUGUUUGCCAUCACCUGCAGCAACCCCAAUGAAUAUAGCACCCAUUUUUGGUACCGUCAGCAGCCUGGAAGAGCACCGACCCUCCUCUUGUAUAUAGCAUCCCAAGAAAAGAACGAAACCAAAGGACGCUUCACAGCAGAGUACUUGGAGAAGGGAAAGAAAAGUCGCCUGCAUCUCUCUGGUGCUCAGAUUCAAGACUCAGGCAUAUACUUUUGUGGCGUAGAGCACAGUGGCGCUGGAAGGGAGAGACUCAUGACUAUAACUUCAGGUCUUCUUCAGCUCUGAUGUUCACCUUUACUCUGUGAUACUUUGCUGCUGAAAACGUUCCCCUACAAAUGUUCA